RNAcentral lists this ribosomal RNA (1393 nucleotides) under mouse gut metagenome. Its description in RNAcentral is "bacterial LSU rRNA". It matches the Rfam family "Bacterial large subunit ribosomal RNA", at positions 1098 to 2499 of the family's 2925-position model. The record is from RNAcentral.
AGGUUGGCUCAGAAGCAGCCAUCCUUUAAAGAGUGCGUAACAGCUCACUAGUCGAAUGACUCUGCGCCGAUAAUUUACCGGGGCUAAGUAUAUUACCGAAGCUAUGGAUUUACGCAGAAGCGUGAGUGGUAGGGGAGCGUUCUAUGUACAGAGAAGCGGUACCGGAAGGAGCCGUGGAGAGCAUAGAAGAGAGAAUGCCGGUGUGAGUAGCGGAACGCGGGUGAGAAUCCCGCGCACCGAAAACCCAAGGUUUCCAGAGGAAGGUUCGUCCGCUCUGGGUAAGUCGGGACCUAAGGCGAGGCCGAGAGGCGUAGUCGAUGGACAACAGGUAGAGAUUCCUGUACUUACGGUAUGAAUGAAGGAGUGACGGAGAAGGCUAGCGGAUCCUGCUGCUGGAAUAGCAGGUGCAAGCGAGGUAGCUGACAGCCAGGCAAAUCCGGCUGUCGAAAGGCGAAGACGUGAAGCGGAUGGAAAGCUGAGGCAAGUACAGAAGUCCGUGAAGCAGGCUUCCAAGAAAAGCUUCUAGUGUUAAUCAUACAGUAACCCGUACCGAAAAUGGACACACAUGGGUGAGGAGAGAAUCCUAAGGUGAGCGAGAGAACUAUAGCUAAGGAACUCUGCAAAAUGACUCCGUAACUUAGGGAUAAGGAGUGCUCAUAGAGAUAUGAGCCGCAGUGAAACGGCCCAAGCGACUGUUUACCAAAAACACAGCUCUAUGCUAAGUCGAAAGACGACGUAUAUGGGGUGACGCCUGCCCGGUGCUGGAAGGUUAAGAGGAUGUGUCAGCGAAAGCGAAGCAUUGAAUUGAAGCCCCAGUAAACGGCGGCCGUAACUAUAACGGUCCUAAGGUAGCGAAAUUCCUUGUCAGGUAAGUUCUGACCCGCACGAAAGGCGUAACGAUUUGGGCGCUGUCUCAGCUGUAGACUCGGUGAAGUCUUAGUACCUGUGAAGAUGCAGGUUACCCGCGACUAGACGGAAAGACCCCAUGGAGCUUUACUGCAGCUUGAUAUUGGACUUUGAUGCAAGAUGUACAGGAUAGGUAGGAGACUGAGAGACAUGCACGCCAGUGUGUGAGGAGUCGAUGUUGGGAUACUACUCUUCUUGUAUUGGAGUUCUAACCGGAUGCCAUGGAACUGGCAACGGGACAGUGUCAGGCGGGCAGUUUGACUGGGGCGGUCGCCUCCCAAAGAGUAACGGAGGCGCCCAAAGAUACCCUCAGCUUGGAUGGAAAUCAAGCGCAGAGUGCAAAGGCAUAAGGGUGUUUGACUGCGAGACCAACAAGUCGAGCAGGGACGAAAGUCGGGCUUAGUGAUCCGGCGGUGCUGAAUGGAAAGGCCGUCGCUCAACGGAUAAAAGCUACCCUGGGGAUAACAGGCUGAUCUCCCCCAAGAGU